Molecule: long non-coding RNA, 1335 nt
Filed under: Setaria italica (foxtail millet)
Lineage: Eukaryota; Viridiplantae; Streptophyta; Magnoliopsida; Poales; Poaceae
Description: long non-coding RNA (SITA_LNC001577)
Source: RNAcentral
GCAGGCUUGGCAACUUUGGAGUGAUGAAAAAUUGGGUGAGUUGAUUUAUUCUCCUUCAGGCAAUGGACACCAUGAGAUAGAAAGAUGCAUUCAUGUGGCACUUUUAUGCGUCCAAGAAAGUGCAGAGCAUCGACCUGAUAUGGAGCGAGUUAUCACAAUGCUAAACACUAAGGAUGUGAACUUACCCAAUCCUGCGCAACCAGCUUACUUCCAUGUAAAUCCUAGUGAGGAAGAAGUUUUGUCAUGCAGCGCUACUAUGAGUAUCACGCUAGAAAGGUAGAACCACAUUGUCAUCAAUUCUGACAGAAAUGCUGGUAUUAUCUUCAUCAAGAUGAACAUAUUUGCGUUGAUAAUCAUAUGAGUAAGCUUGAUUGUUAUGGAUAUUUCUUUAAUAGAACAGACAUUUUUUACCAAUUUGUUCGGAUAUGUAAAACCAUUGCUGGGCUGAAUCUUUGACAUUUCAACCUUGUGUCUUAAACAACAAAAUGAGGGCGUCCUGAGCAUGAAACAACAGCACCGGUUUGUGUUCUUGAGCUACUUUAUUCCUAGAAGGAACUUCACAACAAGUAAUACUACAUGACAAUGAUGUCCUCUUGGAUUAGACGAAAUUCAUGGGCACGAACUUGCUUCUCUUCCCCCCUCCUUCUCUCCUAACUCUGUAAUCAUACUGGUAUUUCCGUUCUUCGCAAUGGAAAUGGGGGAAGCCUCGAUUCAAAAAAACAAACAAACUGCAAUUGGGAAUUGGGAAUCACAUAAUGGGGAUACAGAUUAUUUGAGCAACAGACGGCACCGCCCACUGGUGAAUGCCUACGAAUCCCGAAGCCAAUGCUAGCUCUGACUCGAAAGCAGAAGCGAAAAGAGAGGACUCGUGGAGCCGAACCUGGGUCUGGGUUCCCCUUCCCCUUGGAGCAAGCAAGGUCACCAGGCGCGUGGCCCUGAAGCCGCUACCCUACCCCGCGUCGUGGACAGGGCGCUCGCCUGGCGGUCGUCGGCGCAACGCAACCGCGCAAGGGACUGAAGCUGAACGCCGCCUCGCCGUCGGCCUCCUGCUGCCCCGGGCACCUCUUGGCUGUGGUGGGCUCAUGGAGCAGAGCCGAACGCAAUAUGGGCCGGGCAUGUUCAAUCUUUUUUAGUCUUCUUGAGUGGACUGAGCAGAAAAUAAAUGGCACGAUCUCCCUUCUCUCUCGGUGCGACGCGCCGACGGCAACAUGCCAACAUCGUGCGACGGGUAUGCGUGACGCUGCCCAUGCAUUGGUUGAUACAGAAAGCCAUCGCCGUGGACACAUUUUCCACCAGGAUGGAGUGGGAACCGGUGCCAAGACUGCAAGGCACCAA